UCUGAGGGCCAGAGCAGGAAACGCGGCCCUGAUACCCUGGGCGUUUCUGCCCCAGGGUCCCGGGGCACACACGCCUUCUUCCUCUUCUCCCACCUUCCUUUCCUUCCCUUUUCUCGCUGCCUUGGAGCCUGUGGCUCUUCUCGGAGUGCGUGGCCCGCCCGGCAGACAGCGGUGCUGACCCGGAGGCCACGGGCGAUCAGCUCCCGAGAUGCUUUACUGAAUUGCUUUAGGACUCAAGGAACUGGGGGCUGCAUUUAUUUAUUCCGGAUUUUGUCUGGCCUUGAGGGGUGAUUGAAGCUCUCCUGCGUGAGGACGAAACCAGAGAGGCAAACAGUGGAAAUGGAGCAUCCUCCCUGCCCAGCCACCAAAUUUCCAUCACAUUUUAAAUAAGGAACAAAGAAUUCUUUCUCCUAGUUACCAAGUCAAAAGAUACAAGAAGAUAUAAUUCAAUAUUGUACUACAGAUUGCAGAAAUUGUAAAAAAAAAAAGGCCAGGAAAAAAUAUAUAAGGAUUGCUCCCUGCUGUGGCCUGGGAGAGCAGC
This is a long non-coding RNA of Ochotona curzoniae (black-lipped pika), 541 nucleotides long. RefSeq lists it as uncharacterized. The transcript has 3 exons. The record is from RefSeq and is a predicted model, not a curated record. NCBI's taxonomy places the organism in Eukaryota, Metazoa, Chordata, Mammalia, Lagomorpha, Ochotonidae.